GUUUCCGUGGUGUAGUGGUCAUCGCAUUCGUCUAACACACAAAAGGUCCCUGGUUCGAAACCGGGCGGCAACA
This is a non-coding RNA of Sphaeramia orbicularis (orbiculate cardinalfish), 73 nucleotides long. The record is from the annotation of a RefSeq genome assembly. NCBI's taxonomy places the organism in Eukaryota, Metazoa, Chordata, Actinopteri, Kurtiformes, Apogonidae.